AGGGGAGCUGCCCGCAGUCUUUUCCAAAGAACUUCACGAAUGAUGGUGACAAGCGUCUGGCACAGCAAGCAGACGCCAUCACUGUGCUCAUAAAAGGCUCCUGCGAGGACUUAUCAUAACAUACAGUACACAAAGCGCUGCCCGCGCUGCCUCUGGAGCGUGUGCGUGUGAGUCCACAGAUAAAGACGAGUGAGGGGUGCACUGGGACUGAUGCCUGUGUACUCACGCUUUUGCCAUGGAUGCCUCUGUGGACCUACCGGACUUCUCUGUGUACUAUUUCACACAAAGAGUUACCAUGACACAUUAGUCAGCCAAAGAAGCAGCUAUUCAGGAAACAUGAGCCCUCUGGCCCAUAAUGCACCAACAGUGAACACAUGAGGGCCAGAGACCACAGCAGGCGAAGCAUCAAGACUGGAACCAGGCAGGAUGUGAGCGAAAGCCCUGGUGGCAUUUUCAACUGCAAGGAAAGCAACACUACUCUGCUGUCACCAUGAGAGGACAAACUUCAGAGUUUUUCGACAUGAUUAGAGAGGGAGGAGCGACAAGUAAAAUCAGUCACCAAAUAUACUUUUGCAGUGUUUGAAACGUGGAGUUGUACAUUCUUUGUUUGAGUGGAGAGACCGACAGUCUGUUCUCCUGUGACCAAGUGUGAGUGACAAGCUGGCUUAGAGUGAACUCACCUCUUUCCAUACAUCCUAAUAAGCUUUAGCAGCAUUAAAUCAUGUCUGCAGUGUUACAUCGCCAACCGUCAUAUUUUAGUAUUAGUGCAUUCCCGAGCAAUGAAUGUGAAAUAAUUAAGUGAGUUCAUGAGAGUUAUAGCCCUGAUUUAAACAAAAAAACGAAACUGAAGAACAUGUGAUGCAUUGGAAAGCAGGGGAGCCAGGCUAGCAAUUUUAGCAGCUAGUUAACUUGAAGCAGCGUUCUGUCACUCCCACAAAACGGCAAAUUGAUGAUACUGUAGAUCAAACACGACACAAAAACAAAGAUUGCCUUUAAACGUUGCUAAAAGGAGGACUCUGUUUGUCUGGCAUGAGAGAUUCACACUGCAGUUCAUGCUUUUUUACACAGUGAGCAUCAGAUAUACAGAUUUCUACGAUAGAACAUAAUCCCAGUCGUCUGCUAGCUGGUGUCUGAAU
Long non-coding RNA from Pygocentrus nattereri (red-bellied piranha), 1136 nucleotides. RefSeq lists it as uncharacterized. The transcript is spliced from 3 exons. The record is from RefSeq and is a predicted model, not a curated record. Lineage: Eukaryota; Metazoa; Chordata; Actinopteri; Characiformes; Serrasalmidae.